CCUACGGGGGACUGCAGUGGGGGAUAUUGCACAAUGGGGGAAACCCUGAUGCAGCGACGCCGCGUGAGUGAAGAAGUAUUUCGGUAUGUAAAGCUCUAUCAGCAGGGAAGAAAAUGACGGUACCUGACCAAGACGCCCCGGCUAACUACGUGCCAGCAGCCGCGGUAAUACGUAGGGGGCAAGCGUUAUCCGGAUUUACUGGGUGUAAAGGGAGCGUAGACGGCAGUACAAGUCUGGAGUGAAAUCCCGGGGCUUAACCCCGGGACUGCUUUGGAAACUGGGGGGCUGGAGUGCAGGAGGGGUAAGCGGAAUUCCUAGUGUAGCGGUGAAAUGCGUAGAUAUUAGGAGGAACACCGGUGGCGAAGGCGGCUUACUGGACUGUAACUGACGUUGAGGCUCGAAGGCGUGGGGAGCAAACAGGAUUAGAUACCCGGGUAGUC
This 440-nucleotide ribosomal RNA is filed under the name uncultured bacterium. RNAcentral's name for it is "partial 16S ribosomal RNA". It matches the Rfam family "Bacterial small subunit ribosomal RNA", at positions 338 to 795 of the family's 1533-position model. The record is from RNAcentral.